GAUGAACGCUGGCGGCGUGCCUAAUACAUGCAAGUCGAGCGAACGGACGAGAAGCUUGCUUCUCUGAUGUUAGCGGCGGACGGGUGAGUAACACGUGGAUAACCUACCUAUAAGACUGGGAUAACUUCGGGAAACCGUAGCUAAUACCGGAUAAUAUUUUGAACCGCAUGGUUCAAAAGUGAAAGACGGUCUUGCUGUCACUUAUAGAUGGAUCCGCGCUGCAUUAGCUAGUUGGUAAGGUAACGGCUUACCAAGGCAACGAUGCAUAGCCGACCUGAGAGGGUGAUAGGCCACACUGGAACUGAGACACGGUCCAGACUCCUACGGGAGGCAGCAGUAGGGAAUCUUCCGCAAUGGGCGAAAGCCUGACGGAGCAACGCCGCGUGAGUGAUGAAGGUCUUCGGAUCGUAAAACUCUGUUAUUAGUGAAGAACAUAUGUGUAAGUAACUGUGCACAUCUUGACGGUACCUAAUCAGAAAGCCACGGCUAACUACGUG
Molecule: ribosomal RNA, 497 nt
Filed under: uncultured bacterium
Lineage: Bacteria
Description: partial 16S ribosomal RNA
Rfam family: Bacterial small subunit ribosomal RNA
Source: RNAcentral